RNAcentral lists this ribosomal RNA (460 nucleotides) under uncultured bacterium. RNAcentral describes it as "partial 16S ribosomal RNA". It matches the Rfam family "Bacterial small subunit ribosomal RNA", at positions 338 to 795 of the family's 1533-position model. The record is from RNAcentral.
CCUACGGGUGGCAGCAGUGAGGAAUAUUGGUCAAUGGACGAGAGUCUGAACCAGCCAAGUAGCGUGAAGGAUGACUGCCCUAUGGGUUGUAAACUUCUUUUAUAAAGGAAUAAAACGAGGCACGUGUGCCUUUUUGCAUGUACUUUAUGAAUAAGGAUCGGCUAACUCCGUGCCAGCAGCCGCGGUAAUACGGAGGAUCCGAGCGUUAUCCGGAUUUAUUGGGUUUAAAGGGAGCGUAGAUGGGUUGUUAAGUCAGUUGUGAAAGUUUGAGGCUCAACCGUAAAAUUGCAAUUGAUACUGGCAGUCGUGAGUACAGUUGAGGUAGGAGGAAUUCGUGGUGUAGCGGUGAAAUGCUUAGAUAUCACGAAGAACCCCGAUUGCGAAGGCAGCUUACUAAACUGUGACUGACAUUGAUGCUCGAAAGUGUGGGUAUCAAACAGGAUUAGAUACCCCUGUAGUC